RNAcentral lists this small RNA (52 nucleotides) under uncultured Faecousia sp. RNAcentral describes it as "Streptococcus sRNA SpF59 (ldcC RNA)". It matches the Rfam family "Streptococcus sRNA SpF59 (ldcC RNA)". Lineage: Bacteria; Bacillati; Bacillota; Clostridia; Eubacteriales; Oscillospiraceae. The record is from RNAcentral.
ACCGCCGGCAUUCGCCGGCUAAGGCCAUACGGACAGCCGGGUCGAAUGCCGA